RNAcentral lists this ribosomal RNA (401 nucleotides) under Bacillus sp. AN18. Its description in RNAcentral is "bacterial SSU rRNA". It matches the Rfam family "Bacterial small subunit ribosomal RNA", at positions 997 to 1398 of the family's 1533-position model. The record is from RNAcentral. Lineage: Bacteria; Bacillati; Bacillota; Bacilli; Caryophanales; Bacillaceae.
ACCCUAGAGAUAGGGCUUCUCCUUCGGGAGCAGAGUGACAGGUGGUGCAUGGUUGUCGUCAGCUCGUGUCGUGAGAUGUUGGGUUAAGUCCCGCAACGAGCGCAACCCUUGAUCUUAGUUGCCAUCAUUAAGUUGGGCACUCUAAGGUGACUGCCGGUGACAAACCGGAGGAAGGUGGGGAUGACGUCAAAUCAUCAUGCCCCUUAUGACCUGGGCUACACACGUGCUACAAUGGACGGUACAAAGAGCUGCAAGACCGCGAGGUGGAGCUAAUCUCAUAAAACCGUUCUCAGUUCGGAUUGUAGGCUGCAACUCGCCUACAUGAAGCUGGAAUCGCUAGUAAUCGCGGAUCAGCAUGCCGCGGUGAAUACGUUCCCGGGCCUUGUACACAACCGCCCGUA